GUUGUAUAGACUGAAAUAUCCGAGCUACGGAUUCUGUAGCAGACCUUGCAUUGUGAGGUACAACCUUGAUAACUCUGGCUGGAUUAUCAGGCACACAAGCCUGAGGGCUACCAUCACGGUUGUCAGUAACUGGAGACGUGGGAAAAAGAGAGAGCAUGUUUCUUCCUGCUGUCUCAAUAGGACUACUUGCACUGCUGGCUUGUACCUCAUUAUCUUUUGUGGAUUGAUACCUUACAACAUCCGGGACAUUUUCUUUCUUCUGAUUUAGAACAUUACUUGAGUCCUGAUGUUGAAUGUUGACGUCAUCAACUACUCCAGAAAACUGGUGUUGUAAACCAGGCAUGGUAUACUGGUUCGAUUCUUCACUAGCAGUUGAUGAAAUUGGUGGAUUCAUAGCUGGCAUGCCAUAUUGCCGAAAGUAACCAUGACCAGUCGGAGGUGCAAAAGGAACUCCCAUACCUUGAUAGUGAGGAUUAGGAGCAGGAACUCCAUAUGUUGGAGCAAAAAAGUUCCCCAUUGUUGGACUCGAUCCUGGAGGCCCACUUCCACAAAUAGGACUCGUGAAUCCAGGUCCAGGAAAUGGCUUGUAUACAAGUCCCUCAGAAGGAGACAUCACUGGGAUCAACCAUUGGUGCCCGGGAGGUUGUUGGAAGCACCAAGGACCCGCAUUAGAA
Molecule: unclassified non-coding RNA, 674 nt
Filed under: Hevea brasiliensis (rubber tree)
Lineage: Eukaryota; Viridiplantae; Streptophyta; Magnoliopsida; Malpighiales; Euphorbiaceae
Source: RNAcentral